Molecule: long non-coding RNA, 1336 nt
Organism: Cynara cardunculus var. scolymus (artichoke)
Lineage: Eukaryota; Viridiplantae; Streptophyta; Magnoliopsida; Asterales; Asteraceae
Exons: 2
Source: RefSeq, a predicted model, not a curated record
AUCAUGAGUAAGAUGGGAAUCACAUACACACAAGGUUGUUUUGAGUUUGUUUGGGAUUCAAUCUCGGAUUUGAUGAUUGAUGGAGAAGAUUUAAGGUUAGAUGCUCUUGAUUAUUUCAACAAUCUGGUUCUGCACUCUACAUGUUUGAUAAAAUGUUUGUGAGAAGAUUCGAUUCUAUUUUGCUCGUUCAAAAUCAGAUCUGAAGAGGAUUUUAGAUCUUUGAUUGCUGGAAUCAACUUUUUGAAAUGAUCAAUCAGAAAUUGGUAAUUUUUGUUCUCAAAAGUUUAACAGAGAUCGGCUCAUCUUUCUAUAUGAUGAUAAUAUGAAAAUCAACAUGCUAACAGAUUUGCAAUGAUGUAGUAUAUUCAUCAUAUCUCAUUUAUCAGAGCACCAAUUGAGUCGAUUCAAAAAGCUCUGGUUAGAAAAACAUAAGGAUAUACAAGUUUCAUGUUUUAAGUUUUCAUAGAUUCAUAUUGUAGAUGGAUCAUAUGUAUCGUUGAAGUUGACAGUAGUGUGCUGAUGCAAAGCUGUUAUGCAUGGAGUCAGAUUUGCUUAUUCAUAGAAGGUUUAGAGCCUCUAGAGUGUCAAACCAGAGCCUCUGGAGUAAAGGACUAGAGCCUAUUAUGAAUUGUGUACUUUAUAGAAGAAGGGGCCUUAAGCCAAAUAUAACAUGUUGAAACAGAAGCUGUUGGAUAGAUCUGCACGACUGUGCUACAUCAAUCAUAUCUUCUUCGUCUGAACUCCAAGAAAGGUGAUUUUAAAUUUUUUAAGUAGCUAACAGACCAUUUUACACUUUUUCUUCUUUGAGUUUUUGCAAACUCCAUAGGUAUGCUAGUGAAAAAAGGUGUUGAAGUCGGUGUAACAUUGUCGUAUAAGAACCUUCUUUGUUGAUUUGUGUAUCAAAGACCAGAAGCAAACCAUGAAAGACCAAAGACAAGAUAUGAAGGACCAGAAUCUUUGGUUAUAUGGACCAAAAGCUCUAGUCAUAAUAGACUAGAAGAAAACCUUGAACGACCAAGAAGUUACUAAGAACAAGAGGCAUGAUCAACCAAAAGCUUGAUGAACUAGAGCCUUGUGCAACCAGAACUUUGAGCGACGAUAAGUCACGAUACCAGAGGUCAAAAAAGACCAGAUGGAAUGAGAAACCAAAGGUCACGAGGACCAGAAAUCACGGGGAACCAGAGCCCGUAGCCCAAUUUUCAAAUUUGCUGACAGCUUUGCGCUGUUGUAGCAUUUUGCGCACAACUUUCUCCUCAAAACUCCAAAAUGCAUGAUUUCAGUUUCUUUGGAAACCCAAACAUAUAUAUACCACUUUACAGUUUUGAGUUUGUUCAAA